Long non-coding RNA from Branchiostoma belcheri (Belcher's lancelet), 393 nucleotides. RefSeq lists it as uncharacterized. The record is from RefSeq and is a predicted model, not a curated record. NCBI's taxonomy places the organism in Eukaryota, Metazoa, Chordata, Leptocardii, Amphioxiformes, Branchiostomatidae. The transcript has 3 exons.
ACAGGAGCUUGUAGGAUUCCUGAGUAUAAAUCCUGACGCAGUCUCCGCGGGAGGACGCUUAGCUGUUUGUCCGUUUGUUCUUUAUCCAGGCCACCAAGAGUUUGCGAGAUGCUGACCGUGCUCCUGACCCUGUUGGUUGCCAUGGCAGUCACGCCCAGCUUGGCUGGUUACCCCAGUGAGGACGAUGAGGAGCUGUGUGUCCAGGCCUGUGAGCGCUGCUUCAGCGUCAUGAAGUGGCCACGCUUCUACAGCGCCUUCAAGUGUAAGGCUCAGUGUCUGGAUGACAUCAUGGAGGAUUAUGUGGUUGGUGGCAGUUCGUGGGCUCUAUGCAAGGUAGCGCUUCAGCAGAACCAUUUCGACUCUGCGGUGUGAGCUGUUGGAAAGACGACUUUU